UGUUUCCAUUAAUCAAGAACGAAAGUUAGAGGUCCGAAGGCGAUCAGAUACCGCCCUAGUUCUAACCAUAAACGAUGCCAGCCAGCGAUCCGGCUGUGUUCCUCAAAUGACACGCCGGGCAGCUUCCGGGAAACCAAAGCUUUUGGGUUCCGGGGGAAG
Molecule: ribosomal RNA, 159 nt
Filed under: Maymena ambita
Lineage: Eukaryota; Metazoa; Arthropoda; Arachnida; Araneae; Mysmenidae
Description: partial 18S ribosomal RNA
Rfam family: Eukaryotic small subunit ribosomal RNA
Source: RNAcentral